RNAcentral lists this ribosomal RNA (439 nucleotides) under uncultured bacterium. Its description in RNAcentral is "bacterial SSU rRNA". It matches the Rfam family "Bacterial small subunit ribosomal RNA", at positions 340 to 773 of the family's 1533-position model. The record is from RNAcentral.
UACGGAAGGCAGCAGUGGGGAAUAUUGCACAAUGGGCGCAAGCCUGAUGCAGCCAUGCCGCGUGUAUGAAAAAGGCCUUCGGGUUGUAAAGUACUUUCAGUCGUGAGGAAGGUGUUAAGGUUAAUAACCUUAGCAAUUGACGUUAGCGACAGAAGAAGCACCGGCUAACUCCGUGCCAGCAGCCGCGGUAAUACGGAGGGUGCGAGCGUUAAUCGGAAUUACUGGGCGUAAAGGGCACGCAGGCGGUUAAUUAAGUUGGAUGUGAAAUCCCCGGGCUUAACCUGGAAUGGCAUUCAAGACUGGUUAGCUAGAGUCUUGUAGAGGGGGUAGAAUUCCAUGUGUAGCGGUGAAAUGCGUAGAGAUGUGGAGGAAUACCGGUGGCGAAGGCGGCCCCUGGACAAAGGACUGACGCUCAUGUGCGAAAGCGUGGGGAGCAAAC